Molecule: long non-coding RNA, 458 nt
Filed under: Heterocephalus glaber (naked mole-rat)
Lineage: Eukaryota; Metazoa; Chordata; Mammalia; Rodentia; Bathyergidae
Description: lncRNA (ENSHGLG00000040601.1)
Source: RNAcentral
CAAAUCUUCGUAUCAUGUUUCUAACCCAACAGACAUCUGUGGGCAAUUAUGCAAGAACAUGACCAAAUGGAAGCACCACAGAGACAUCUACUGUGUCCAUGAAGAAAUAAAAUUCACCAAAUAACAAUAUCAACAGAAUAAUGGAAAAUAAUUCCAGGAGAAACAUUAUUAUAUAAUUUGAACAACUGAUAGUAUUAUAUAUUAUGGACCAAGAGUGGAAAAUGUCUUUAGUAACCCAGGUGGCUGUUACUUGGAAAAAAAAUAGAAUCAGAUACAUUGGACCACUUUGCCUUUUGGCUCUGGUGUAGUUCCCCUUCUAUAGGGUUGAACACAUGACCUGAAUGAGUGUACACAGGAGAACUGGCAUAGCCAAGGUGCAGACGCAGGGCUCCUCCUUCUUCCUCUGACUACCAUGAAACUCUGGGGAGGUCCAGACCUACAGAAGGUGAUAGGAAAUC